CGCGUAGGCGGUAUUGGAAGUCAUGGGUGAAAGUCCUCGGCUCAACCGAGGGAUUGCCUGUGAAACCACAGUACUGGAGUGCUGGAGAGGGAAGUGGAAUUCCCAGUGUAGCGGUGAAAUGCGUAGAUAUUGGGAGGAACACCUGUGGCGAAGGCGGCUUCCUGGACAGACACUGACGCUGAGGCGCGAAAGCCAGGGGAGCGAACG
RNAcentral lists this ribosomal RNA (207 nucleotides) under uncultured bacterium. Its description in RNAcentral is "partial 16S ribosomal RNA". It matches the Rfam family "Bacterial small subunit ribosomal RNA", at positions 568 to 774 of the family's 1533-position model. The record is from RNAcentral.